AGGGUUUGAUUCUGGCUCAGAUUGAACGCUGGCGGCGUGCUUAACACAUGCAAGUCGAACGUGAAAGUCCUUCGGGACGAGUAAAGUGGCGCACGGGUGAGUAACGCGUGGAUAAUCUACCUUCAAGACGGGGAUAACGGCUGGAAACGGUCGCUAAUACCGGAUACGCUCCCGACUUUAUCGUUGGGGGGAAAGAUGGCCUCUGCUUGCAAGCUAUCGCUUGGGGAUGAGUCCGCGUCCCAUUAGCUAGUUGGUGGGGUAACGGCCCACCAAGGCAACGAUGGGUAGCCGGUCUGAGAGGAUGACCGGCCACACUGGAACUGGAACACGGUCCAA
Molecule: ribosomal RNA, 336 nt
Filed under: uncultured bacterium
Lineage: Bacteria
Description: bacterial SSU rRNA
Rfam family: Bacterial small subunit ribosomal RNA
Source: RNAcentral